UACGGAGGGGGCGAGCGUUAUUCGGAAUUAUUGGGCGUAAAGGGCGCGUAGGCGGCUCUAUAAGUCAAAGGUGAAAUCCCUCGGCUCAACUGAGGAACUGCCUUUGAAACUGUUGGGCUUGAGGCCGGGAGAGGGUAGUGGAAUUCCCAGUGUAGCGGUGAAAUGCGUAGAUACUGGGAGGAACACCAGUGGCGAAGGCGGCUACCUGGACCGGUACUGACGCUGAUGCGCGAAAGCGUGGGUAGCAAACAGG
Molecule: ribosomal RNA, 253 nt
Filed under: uncultured bacterium
Lineage: Bacteria
Description: partial 16S ribosomal RNA
Rfam family: Bacterial small subunit ribosomal RNA
Source: RNAcentral